GACGAACGCUGGCGGCGUGCUUAACACAUGCAAGUCGAGCGGUAAGGCCCUUUCGGGGUACGACGAGCGGCGAACGGGUGAGUAACACGUGGGUGACCUGCCCUCAGCUCUGGGAUAAGCCCGGGAAACUGGGUCUAAUACCGGAUAUGACUUCAUGACGCAUGUUGUGGAGUGGAAAGCCUUGUGCGGCUGAGGAUGGGCCCGCGGCCUAUCAGCUUGUUGGUGGGGUGANGGCCUACCAAGGCGACGACGGGUAGCCGGCCUGAGAGGGCGACCGGCCACACUGGGACUGAGAUACGGCCCAGACUCCUACGGGAGGCAGCAGUGGGGAAUCUUGCGC
Molecule: ribosomal RNA, 340 nt
Filed under: uncultured bacterium
Lineage: Bacteria
Description: bacterial SSU rRNA
Rfam family: Bacterial small subunit ribosomal RNA
Source: RNAcentral